Molecule: unclassified non-coding RNA, 417 nt
Filed under: Zea mays
Lineage: Eukaryota; Viridiplantae; Streptophyta; Magnoliopsida; Poales; Poaceae
Description: misc RNA Zm00001eb339030
Source: RNAcentral
GCACAUGUACUUCGUCCUUAUCACCUCCGUCUCUCACCCCCGAUCUCCCUCCCCUCCCACGGCCAGUGCCCCGGCUCCCUCCCCUCCGGUUCUCACCCCUCUUCCUCCUCGCCUCUGGGUCCCGACGCCUUCCGCCGUCGGUCGGAGCAGCACCUCCGCCACGCCACCGCUGGGUCCCGCUGUCUCCAGCCAUCGCCGCUUCACCUCCGCCACCUCACCACCGGGUCCCGUCGCCAUCUGGCUGCUGCUACCGGUGCAAUGGCGUGGCGAGGAAGCGCGGGAGGAGCCGGUACGGCUGGGCGCGGUCGCCUGGUCUGCAACAAUCUGCAUCCUGGGAGGCCAUGAGAGAAAAUAAGGUGAGGGAGAGUUGAUGAUUCGUGUAGAUUCGAGACAACCAUCAGUCGACCCUACAAGAUU